This 524-nucleotide ribosomal RNA is filed under the name uncultured bacterium. RNAcentral describes it as "bacterial SSU rRNA". It matches the Rfam family "Bacterial small subunit ribosomal RNA", at positions 355 to 896 of the family's 1533-position model. The record is from RNAcentral.
UUGGGAAUAUUGGACAAUGGGGGAAACCCUGAUCCAGCAAUGCCGCGUGGGUGAUGAAGGCCUUCGGGUUGUAAAGCCCUUUUGGCGGGGACGAUGAUGACGGUACCCGCAGAAUAAGCCCCGGCUAACUUCGUGCCAGCAGCCGCGGUAAUACGAAGGGGGCUAGCGUUGUUCGGAAUUACUGGGCGUAAAGGGCGCGUAGGCGGCCGUGCAAGUCAGAUGUGAAAGCCCUGGGCUCAACCCAGGAGGUGCAUUUGAUACUGCAUGGCUAGAGUGUCGGAGAGGAUGGUGGAAUUCCCAGUGUAGAGGUGAAAUUCGUAGAUAUUGGGAAGAACACCGGUGGCGAAGGCGACCAUCUGGACGACAACCGACGCUGAGGCGCGAAAGCGUGGGGAGCAAACAGGAUUAGAUACCCUGGUAGUCCACGCCGUAAACUAUGCGUGUUGGACGUUGGCGAGCCUAGCUCGUCGGUGUCGCAGCUAACGCGUUAAACACGCCGCCUGGGGAGUACGGCCGCAAGGUUA